GUGCGUGCCUGUAGUCCCAGCUAACCCGGAGGCUGAGCACUUCACUUCACCAGUUGAAGACCACCUUAUCUGAACUGUGAAAUGGAGAGGAAGUGACUGAAAAAUCGUGUGAGACAAAUCACAAAAAAACAGCAGGCAAUUACAAGAGACAUCUAGGAACAGCUAUGUCCUUAACUUCAAACCAUCUGCUGAACAUGUAGAUACCCUUGGAAACUGCAAGUGUAAGAAUGAAGUGUUCUAAACCUUGGAGUGGAAGCCUUCAGCUGGGAGUCAUUCCAAUGGUCUACAGAGAGAUGGUCAACAUCAGAACCAGAGUAAUAGCAGUGAAGAUGUAAAGGAGAAUAUGAAUGAAAAAAUGUGCACCAGAUUGAAAUCUUAUGACUUCAAAAAUUCUCUUCUAUUGGAAAAAUGGAGAGGAAGAGGAAAGGGUCUAUGAUGACACACAAGUUUCUGACUUGGCAACCUGAAUAGUGUUCAGAAGUGUAACUAAAGGGGAGAUGGAAGAAUAUCGGUAUUUUAUUCUGAUAUAUGUAAAAAUACUUUUAAUCAACUGAUUUUUGGACAUAACUGAGCGAAUUUUUCCAACAAAACUGGCUAUGCUAAAGAACCCCAAAUUACGGUGUUUUGGAUGGCUAAAGAAUGUGCUGAGAUGUUGAUUCCCUGGGCCAUCAAGCUGGUGCAUCCUCAGUGUGAUUGGUAAAUAUUUAUUUCUACAGAGUCCAAGACGUGAGAAUGGUUUUGUGGCAUAAAAGUCAUGAUGUCGACGUAAAACAUUUUCUUGUGACUAGCAAAACAUGUUAAAUUGCAUUGUCCAUUUGUGUAUGAAAAGAGAAAACCUUUAAAAAUCUCUUCUGGGCAUCAUGUUUAGGCACAAAAUUGGGAGUAUUUGUUUUGCAUGCAUUUUAUCUUCUUAAUUAUCUACUUACAUGAAGUCAUCUAUACAAUAGGUAUUAGUGGAACUGGAGAUUGAUAUCAGUAUAAUGGUCAAAUAGCAGGUAUAGAACUGUUAUUUCAAGCAACACCUCAAGAAAGGCAGGUAUGUGUGCAGGACAGAGCUCCGGGUGACCUUGGACUGACCCAGUUCUCUCCCCCUUUCUCAUGUGAGGUUCUCAAACAUAAACAUAGAGAAUAUGCUGGCAGUGCAGCUUGCCGAGAUAAGAAGGAACAGGCUCUAUUCCUGCCCCUCCUGGAACAAGAUGUCCUUCAGCAUUUUAGCUUGGCAAAUUAUGUUAUCCCUGGGAUAUAAAACCCAAGGUACACUGUUUUCAGCUGCAGUGCAGGUGGGGCACACAUAAGAUGCCAGACACCCUGGGCAGCUUUUCUGAGCUUCAGAAAAGCUCAUCAUGAAUUCUAGGGCUCUGCUUCCCCUUACCGCCUAUGUGUGAAUAAUAAAAUUGCUUCACAUAA
This is a long non-coding RNA of Homo sapiens (human), 1407 nucleotides long. RefSeq lists it as uncharacterized. Lineage: Eukaryota; Metazoa; Chordata; Mammalia; Primates; Hominidae. The transcript has 4 exons. The record is from RefSeq and is a predicted model, not a curated record.